Molecule: ribosomal RNA, 460 nt
Filed under: uncultured Capnocytophaga sp.
Lineage: Bacteria; Pseudomonadati; Bacteroidota; Flavobacteriia; Flavobacteriales; Flavobacteriaceae
Description: bacterial SSU rRNA
Rfam family: Bacterial small subunit ribosomal RNA
Source: RNAcentral
CCUACGGGAGGCAGCAGUGAGGAAUAUUGGACAAUGGUCGGAAGACUGAUCCAGCCAUGCCGCGUGCAGGAUGAAGGUCUUAUGGAUUGUAAACUGCUUUUGUAAGGGAAGAAUAAGGAGUACGAGUACUUUGAUGACGGUACCUUAUGAAUAAGCAUCGGCUAACUCCGUGCCAGCAGCCGCGGUAAUACGGAGGAUGCGAGCGUUAUCCGGAAUCAUUGGGUUUAAAGGGUCUGUAGGCGGGCUUGUAAGUCAGAGGUGAAAGCGCUCAGCUCAACUGAGCAACUGCCUUUGAAACUGUUGGUCUUGAAUGGUUGUGAAGUAGUUGGAAUGUGUAGUGUAGCGGUGAAAUGCUUAGAUAUUACACAGAACACCGAUAGCGAAGGCAUAUUACUAACAAUUGAUUGACGCUGAUGGACGAAAGCGUGGGGAGCGAACAGGAUUAGAUACCCGAGUAGUC